GUGAGGAAUCUUGCGCAAUGGGGGAAACCCUGACGCAGCAACGCCGCGUGGAUGAUGAAGGCCUUCGGGUCGUAAAAUCCUGUCGAGUGGGAAGAAUCACCGGCCGGUAAAUAAUCGGCCGGCAUGACUGUACCACUGGAGGAAGCCCCGGCUAACUCCGUGCCAGCAGCCGCGGUAAUACGGAGGGGGCGAGCGUUGUUCGGAAUCAUUGGGCGUAAAGGGCGCGUAGGCGGUCGGGUAAGUCGGUUGUGAAAUCCCCUGGCUUAACCAGGGAAGUGCGUCCGAAACUACCUGACUAGAGGCCGGGAGAGGAGAGUGGAAUUCCCAGUGUAGCGGUGAAAUGCGUAGAUAUUGGGAGGAACACCGGUGGCGAAGGCGGCUCUCUGGACCGGUUCUGACGCUGAGGCGCGAAAGCUAGGGGAGCAAACAGGAUUAGAAACCCGUGUAGUCC
This 451-nucleotide ribosomal RNA is filed under the name uncultured bacterium. Its description in RNAcentral is "bacterial SSU rRNA". It matches the Rfam family "Bacterial small subunit ribosomal RNA", at positions 354 to 796 of the family's 1533-position model. The record is from RNAcentral.